Pan troglodytes (chimpanzee) is the source of this 768-nucleotide long non-coding RNA. RefSeq lists it as uncharacterized. Lineage: Eukaryota; Metazoa; Chordata; Mammalia; Primates; Hominidae. The transcript is spliced from 3 exons. The record is from RefSeq and is a predicted model, not a curated record.
CAGAAGCACAGGCAAGGCACGUGGACCAGCUGCAGCUUUCCUGAAGAACAUGGGUGGGACUCAAAGAACGGAACAAAGGAUGGACAUACGCGGUUAUUAGUUCAGAAUGAGCUGAGUCCUAGGGGAGGAGUCCCCCAGCCAGGAGGAAGUCACCUUUCUUGGGUGAAAAUGAAGCGCAGAAUGCUUAGAUCAGUCGGCAAGGUCAGGCCUUGCCUGGAGAAGCUCAGUAAGAAUUCCUUUUGCAUGACUCACACAAGUUUGAAAUAACAAAGGAAACAUGAGGCCUGGGAAAGAUACAGGUGGAUAUUAUUCACUCUGGUCCUACAAGUAGCUAUGCUUCGAACACUCAAAUUAGUUGCAGGAGAAAACUUCUGCCAAGGAUAACCAAGAACAUCACAGUGCUGGUGCGUCGAAACAUGUAGAGAAUGAGUUGGAAGAUUAUGACAAAUCAAAGUCACCUUUCAGAUCAAAGGGAUUGAAUCUGAGAAGAGUGUGUCACUAAGGCUCACAGGACCUGAGACUAUUUUAGAGCCUGAUUUGGGGUGCAUAAAGCAGGUACAGGGGACCCUUGAACACCACGGGUUGGAACUGAGUCCACGAGACAGAUUUUCUUCUGCCUCUGCCACCCAGGAGACAGCAAGACCAACCUCUCCCCUUCCUCCUCAGCCUUCCUCAAUGUGAGGAUGAUGAGGUGAAGAUCUUUAUGAUGAUCCACUUCCAGUCAGUGAAUAGUAAAUAUACUUUUCCUUCCUCAUUGUUUUAACAACA